Molecule: long non-coding RNA, 635 nt
Organism: Haliotis rubra (blacklip abalone)
Lineage: Eukaryota; Metazoa; Mollusca; Gastropoda; Lepetellida; Haliotidae
Exons: 3
Source: RefSeq, a predicted model, not a curated record
GUGCCUGAUAAGAAACACGGAUCACACAUACGUCAUGUAGGUGGUGGAUCUGGUCGAUUUGACACACAGCGAGAUAGAUUAUUAACUCCACCGUCAUGCUGUUCCUGACAACGACGGUGAUGUUGCUGGUUGUGGCGUCAGUGACGGCCGUUUCUGAGUUGAAGAUCCUUGGUUUGCGGUGUUCCCAGACCGGCUCCACCGUCUCCUAUAUGACCAUGGGCGUUCCCGCCAGUCUCACCGUGGACCAGUACUGGAGCGGAAAGCAGACCAGUGGAGUUUCCCCUCCUGUGCAACUGGUACAGCAUCUCCAGCCUCGGCGGUACCGGCGACCUGUAUGAGUGCAUCCUUCUGGGCGACAGUCACGGCGUCUUCUCAGUCAGCAUCAACAACGGCACCGAGUGCCACAAAUCUUACGACUCCGUGACCUUCGACAGCUGUUCUCAGCCUAAGUAUGCGUGUCCUGUCUGAACAAUACUGACAAUAAAGUACUAUCAAAUUGCCUCCCAUUACAAUAUAGGCCAUAUCUGCAGCAUCCAGAAUACGACACGCUCAAGAAUGAAGCACCACUUACUACUUUCAAUCGCAAUGUAAAUUUCUUUCGUUUCUUAUGGGCUGACAAUAUACUGAAAAUAAUC